RNAcentral lists this non-coding RNA (46 nucleotides) under Schistosoma curassoni. The record is from RNAcentral. Lineage: Eukaryota; Metazoa; Platyhelminthes; Trematoda; Strigeidida; Schistosomatidae.
GUACUGCUGAUGUGUCACAAAAUAGGACGAAACGGCCGUCCAGUGC